UGUGGGGUGUCUGUGUGUUUCCGGGCUGGGCCUGGGGUGGAAGUGGUGGGGGAAGCUUUGCUCCCGUGAGAUCCGAUACGCCCUUAUCCACCGGGACAUGUGCACUGGAUUCAGCUGGAGGGGCCCUUGCAGACUGUUGCUGGUUCGGCCGUGUGUGCCCACCCUGUUGGGUUUCUCCUGUUCUCUGCAUUAACUGCGGCUUCUGCCCAGUUUAAACAGAAGAUUAUUGAACUGGAAGCAGCAGCCGAUUGCUGUUUGCAGUAUCUUUACAGCUCCAAGUGGCCCACAGACGCCAUCCAGACUCAGGGCUUUAAAUACCAUCCAUAUGUUGAUGAAGCCAGAAUUCGUGUUGCCAGCGCUCAGGUGGCCCUGAACUCUAUUCCAACCGCCUGCUCAACAUUUCAUCUUGGAUUUUAAGAAGUAGCUCAAAGACAGCAGAUCCGAAGCUGGGCUCUCAAUGCUUCUCCCUGCGAGCACCAGAGUGAUACUGGCUGGAUACUGGAUACAGAUGAGAUCGUUCCUUUGCUCACACCCUCCGAGAGUAAAAGCUAAAGGAGCAGUUCUCGUCAUGUCUGUGGGUUAUCAAGCUGAAGGCAUUUUCAAUGACACAAUGGAAUUAGUUCUGUAAUUACUUUUGCCACACAAACCGACAACUU
RNAcentral lists this long non-coding RNA (656 nucleotides) under Equus caballus (horse). RNAcentral's name for it is "lncRNA (ENSECAG00000055973.1)". Lineage: Eukaryota; Metazoa; Chordata; Mammalia; Perissodactyla; Equidae. The record is from RNAcentral.